AUGGCGAGAUGUCUCCACCCUAAGCAAAGCGCACAUGAAGGCACCCUAGGUUAACCCAAGUGGAAGAAAACAGACUCCGAGAAGAAUCCGGGCAUCCACGCAACAGGAGGGGGCACUGGUGUCGCACCCGCUGAACAAUGAGCCCGUCCCUCCAUCUUGUGGGGGCACUGGUGUCCCACAUGGCAAUGCGGCUGCCAAGCCCGUACAACAGUGGCAGCGCCCGCGCUAGUUGGCCGGUGCUGUCAAUGCUGCCAGCUGCCAUUCCCGAAGCCACAGUGAACGAGCAUGACGACUGGCAUGAUGCCUGAUUCACCUGCCUCACCGCUGCUGGACUGGGGUGGC
Molecule: long non-coding RNA, 342 nt
Organism: Ixodes scapularis (black-legged tick)
Lineage: Eukaryota; Metazoa; Arthropoda; Arachnida; Ixodida; Ixodidae
Exons: 3
Source: RefSeq, a predicted model, not a curated record